Molecule: ribosomal RNA, 301 nt
Filed under: uncultured bacterium
Lineage: Bacteria
Description: partial 16S ribosomal RNA
Rfam family: Bacterial small subunit ribosomal RNA
Source: RNAcentral
CAGUCGCCGCGGGAAUACGUAGGUGGCAAGCGUCGUCCGGAAUUAUUGGGCGUAAAGGGCUCGCAGGCGGUUUCUUAAGUCUGAUGUGAAAGCCCCCGGCUCAACCGGGGAGGGUCAUUGGAAACUGGGAAACUUGAGUGCAGAAGAGGAGAGUGGAAUUCCACGUGUAGCGGUGAAAUGCGUAGAGAUGUGGAGGAACACCAGUGGCGAAGGCGACUCUCUGGUCUGUAACUGACGCUGAGGAGCGAAAGCGUGGGGAGCGAACAGGAUUAGAGACCCCCGUAGUCCCUGUCUCUUAUAC